Onychostoma macrolepis is the source of this 806-nucleotide long non-coding RNA. RefSeq lists it as uncharacterized. The record is from RefSeq and is a predicted model, not a curated record. Lineage: Eukaryota; Metazoa; Chordata; Actinopteri; Cypriniformes; Cyprinidae. The transcript is spliced from 4 exons.
ACACACAACAUUCUGGUCCACACUCAUACCAGAUGGUGGCGGUAAUGCACCAAAAAGUUGUUUGCCAACCGCCAAUAAACCUUAAUAGAAGAAGAAGACAUCAAGAAGAGCGAGGCAGACGGACUGCACGCUGUUAAAACUUCACCGAGAUCGGUGUUGGACCGGCGAACACUUUAGGCCUAUUAUCAGAGGACUUGCUAACAUGAAGAAAACGGUCCAGAGGUUCCACCUGAGAGCCGGGACUGUCGAAUAGUAAGAGACAACGAAAAGGGGGGAACUGUCUUUAAGCUGUGGAGUCAGAUGGAGGGCUCGCAUUUACCUCAAAAACAGCAUUGCAGAAGACUCGAACAACUAGAACCAACUCAAGCACACAAUGGUGACACACAUUUGUAAGACCUUUCCCUGUGAUAUCAAAUUUCCCUUUGGUAAUUAUUCAGAUUCUUCUCAUUCUCAUUGUGUAGCACUGUUUUAAGCUUAGUGAAUAUUAUGUACAGUAAGCACUAGAAGUAGAGACUUGUACUACUUGGGGUAGUUUUAAAUUAACUUUAAUUUUGCUUUUGAUGCAAAAAUUAUCAAAAGAAAAGAUGUAGUGUAGUAAAAGAUGUUUUGUGUAGUAAUUCAAUUGUUUUAAUAUGAAUAUUGUUUUAGUAGUGUUCAGGACAGUAAUUGUCUGUACAUCUAAAUCAGUUCUUUAAACUUUUUGUUGUCUAAGACCUUGAUAUUAUACCUUAAGGGAAAAAGAAAGAUAUUUAAUUAUGUAUUAUGUACCCAGACAGCAAGGAGUGUCGGCCCAGAUCCAGCCCACA